Molecule: ribosomal RNA, 319 nt
Filed under: uncultured Metabolomonas
Lineage: Eukaryota; Cercozoa; Cercomonadida
Description: SSU rRNA
Rfam family: Eukaryotic small subunit ribosomal RNA (bases 112-319)
Source: RNAcentral
GAUUUCUGGUAUGAUGCGCUUGUCCCGGCUCUUCGGAGAUCGUGUGACUGUGUGCGUCUACCAUCCUUCGCUUCAGAUGUGCUGGCGUGUAAAAGCGUUAGCAGCUGUUGUGAUCUUUUACUUUGAAAAAAUUAGAGUGUUUAAAGCAGGCUUGUGCCUUGAAUACAUUAGCAUGGAAUAAUAAUAUAGGACUGGGUUCCUAUUUUGUUGGUUUUCUGGAAUCGAGUAAUGAUUGAUAGGGAUAGUUGGGGGUGCUAGUAUUCAGCGGCCAGAGGUGAAAUUCUUUGAUUCGCUGAAGACUAACUUAUGCGAAAGCAUU